GAUCAUUACURAUACGUGUUAKGGGGYWCGWUGYUGGUCUUCUAGCACGCCUGUGUCGYGCCAUGNACAUUGUCGGUCUUCKCACAYCUGUWGGCACCUAGCGAACGUCUCCCAUUAGGAGCCSCCCCAUGUMUUUAGGGGUCGAGGCGUUCACUCUAUCACUACACAUCAAUGCCUGUACCAACUGAUGUCUUACUGAGCUCCGCGGAGCACAAACAUAAUACAACUUUCAACAACGGAUCUCUUGGCUUUCGCAUCGAUGAAGAACGCCGCGAAAGUGCGAAACGUAAUGUGAAUUGCAUAAUUCAGUGAAUCAUCGAAUCUUUGAACGCAUCUUGCGCUCCUCGGAAUUCCGAGGAGCAUGCCUGUUUGAGUGUCGUGAAGUCUCUCAACACCCAUGGCCUUUGAGCCUCUGGGGUUGGAUUUGGAUGUUGCCGUCUUGACGGACGGCUCGUCUCGAAAUGCAUCAGCUGGUCCGCCUCGGUUCUAUCGACAACGGUGUGAUAAGACAUGGCUCUCGUCGCCGUCGUAGACUCCAGUGUGGCAGCUUACAAUCGUCCUCGCGGACRACGUUUACAUUCGGACCUCAAAUCAGGUAGG
This 600-nucleotide ribosomal RNA is filed under the name uncultured Hysterangiales. RNAcentral's name for it is "eukaryotic LSU rRNA". The stretch from base 225 to 379 matches the Rfam family "5.8S ribosomal RNA". The record is from RNAcentral. Lineage: Eukaryota; Fungi; Basidiomycota; Agaricomycetes.